AGUGAACGCUGGCGGCAGGCCUAACACAUGCAAGUCGAACGGCAGCACAAGAGAGCUUGCUCUCUGGGCGGCGAGUGGCGGACGGGUGAGGAAUGCAUCGGAAUCUGCCCAUUUGUGGGGGAUAACCUCGGGAAACCGGGACUAAUACCGCAUACGACCUACGGGUGAAAGCAGGGGAUCUUCGGACCUUGCGCAGAUGGAUGAGCCGAUGCCGGAUUAGCUAGUUGGAGGGGUAAAGGCCCACCAAGGCGACGAUCCGUAGCUGGUCUGAGAGGAUGAUCAGCCACACUGGGACUGAGACACGGCCCAGACUCCUACGGGAGGCAGCAGUGGGGAAUAUUGGACAAAGGGCGCAAGCCUGAUCCAGCCAUGCCGCGUGUGUGAAGAAGGCCUUCGGGUUGUAAAGCACUUUUGUUGGGAAAGAAAAGCAGCCGGUUAAUACCCGGUUGUCAUGACGGUACCCAAAGAAUAAGCACCGGCUAACUUCGUG
Molecule: ribosomal RNA, 490 nt
Filed under: uncultured bacterium
Lineage: Bacteria
Description: partial 16S ribosomal RNA
Rfam family: Bacterial small subunit ribosomal RNA
Source: RNAcentral